UGGGGAAUUUUGGACAAUGGGCGCAAGCCUGAUCCAGCCAUGCCGCGUGCGGGAAGAAGGCCUUCGGGUUGUAAACCGCUUUUGUCAGGGAAGAAAUCUUCUGAGUUAAUACCUCGGGAGGAUGACGGUACCUGAAGAAUAAGCACCGGCUAACUACGUGCCAGCAGCCGCGGUAAUACGUAGGGUGCAAGCGUUAAUCGGAAUUACUGGGCGUAAAGCGUGCGCAGGCGGUUUUGUAAGACAGAGGUGAAAUCCCCGGGCUCAACCUGGGAACUGCCUUUGUGACUGCAAGGCUUGAGUGCGGCAGAGGGGGGAUGGAAUUCCGCGUGUAGCAGUGAAAUGCGUAGAUAUGCGGAGGAACGCCGAUGGCGAAGGCAAUCCCCUGGGCCUGCACUGACGCUCAUGCACGAAAGCGUGGGGAGCAAACAGGAUUAGAUAGCCCUGGUAGUCCACGCCCUAAAACGAUGUCAACUGGUUGUUGGGAAGGUUCCUUCUCAGUAACGUAGCUAACGCGUGAAGUUGACCGCCUGGGGAGUACGGCCGC
This 544-nucleotide ribosomal RNA is filed under the name uncultured bacterium. RNAcentral describes it as "partial 16S ribosomal RNA". It matches the Rfam family "Bacterial small subunit ribosomal RNA", at positions 355 to 889 of the family's 1533-position model. The record is from RNAcentral.